This 253-nucleotide ribosomal RNA is filed under the name uncultured bacterium. RNAcentral's name for it is "partial 16S ribosomal RNA". It matches the Rfam family "Bacterial small subunit ribosomal RNA", at positions 524 to 776 of the family's 1533-position model. The record is from RNAcentral.
UACAGAGGGGGCAAGCGUUGUUCGGAAUUACUGGGCGUAAAGGGCGCGUAGGCGGCCUGCUAAGUCGAACGUGAAAUCCCCGGGCUCAACCCGGGAACUGCGUCCGAUACUGGUUGGCUUGAAUCCGGGAGAGGGAUGCGGAAUUCCAGGUGUAGCGGUGAAAUGCGCAGAUAUCAGGAGGAACACCGGUGGCGAAGGCGGUUCUCUGGGCAUUACCUGACGCUGAGGAGCGAAAGUGUGGGGAGCGAACAGG